This is a long non-coding RNA of Canis lupus familiaris (dog), 3236 nucleotides long. RefSeq lists it as uncharacterized. NCBI's taxonomy places the organism in Eukaryota, Metazoa, Chordata, Mammalia, Carnivora, Canidae. The transcript has 3 exons. The record is from RefSeq and is a predicted model, not a curated record.
GGCCCCGUGGGGGCGGGGAGGCCGGGGGGAGCGGGCCGCGCGGAAGGGACUCCCGGAGCCGGCUGCAGUGCGGACGGGACCGGCGCGCUCCGGGGCCCCGGGCCCAGGUAGUCAGACCUGUCCCGACAGCCAGCCGGAGGUCUACACGAGGGGUGGCCACGGUAGGAGGGAGUCCCAGAGGCCUCACGGACUGGCGAGUCUGAACGAAUGAGCGCCCGAGUCCCAGGAAAUGUCAAGUUUUAUCCUCUAAAGAACCUCAGAGACUUUUUUAAAGGUGAAACUUUUCAUCUUUAGGUAAGGAAACGUUUUCUGUUGUUUAUCCAUCUAUUGAAAAGAGAACAUUUCAUUUAGAGGAAAGAAGUAUCAUGAACUUAAGCUUUGCCUAUGCUAACUGAUAUAAGAUAUUAUAAAGAUGAUAGAGAGCUGGGUUUUUAAGUUAAAUAAAACAAACUAGUUGAAAAUUUUUCACUAAAAAAAUUCAUUUGCUGGGGGGGAAAAAGUCCCUUUUUUUGCAUUUUCUAAUAGACGGACAUUAUAAUAGGAUUCCCAUCAGGAUCUUUUCCAAGUAUUUAAGAUAUAACAAAAUGAAAAUUAUAUUUUGCAAAAUCUAGGGACACCUAGAAUAUCCCUAAACAUAAAUAUGAACGUAUGUGAUAAUAAAAAAAUAGACUAUUUUGAUAAAUGUGAAAGACUGGUCACUGCUUUAAAAGCAGGCCAGUGAAAUAAAGUUAUUUAAGGUUUGGGCGGUAACAAAGAAGCUUAAACUCUGGGAUAUACUCACAUGCUAGGAAAAUAUUGCUUUGUAGGGUCAAAAUGUAAAUAUAAACAAUUUGUUUAAUCAGGCAAGAGCCUUUCCUUUGUGUGUAACUUCUUUUCACUUUCUAUUUGUGUCAUACUGGUAACAUAUGAAAAGGGAAGACAGCUAACUUUUUAAGCAUAUUAAAAUAUUAGCAACUCACUCAAUUUUUGGCAGUAAUUCUAUUAGUGCAGUUUACUUGCAUGAACAGUAUAAAUCACAUUUAUGAAAAUUAGAUGUUUUAAAGCAGAUAAACUAAAAAUACAAUUAAAACGUCUAAACAAAAUUUAGAGAUGCUUUGAAGUAUUUUAUGAAGUUAAAAGAACGAAAGAAGCAGUUAGAGAAAUUAUAUAUAGAAUCUGUUGUAAAAUAUGCAAAUCUGUACAUUCUAGCCUUCUCACCAGUACCACAUUUGGAAAAAGAAAUAAAUUGCAAUGUUUGUCUUCUGUUAAUUUAUAUUCUGGAGAGUAAACAAGACUUCUCCUGAUUUUAAAUACAUGAAACAGCUACAUAUAAACAUUUCUAAGAGACACAGUAUAGAGGUUUCGGUUUUUAAGAAAUACACGUAAAAAUUCAUGUGGUUAAACAGAAUCUAAAAACUUUGAGAGAAAAGUACUAAAUUUUUUAUAUGGAUUUGAAAAAUUCAUUUCAAGAAUAAAUUUUUCUCCUUAUAAAAACAUUCAUAUUAAUAUCAAGCAUAUAGGUUAAGACUUACUUAAAUUACUUAAUUAGGAUAUAUUAAACUUCUAAGUUAUUUUUAAAAAAAUAAUUUUGGUAAUCUGAAAAAGAUUCUAACAUUAUUUCUAAUGUACUCUUUAAAUAAAGUCCUUUAAUAUGUCAGUUUUUAAAUCUUAUAUUUUAAAAGAUAAAAAAUGGAAAAAAACAAACCUUGUAAUAGAAAAUAUAAUUUUAUAGUACUGAGAAAAGAGUUGUAAGCAUUUUAUAAAUAUAUGAAGAGAUCAGUUUCAUUUCUGACUUGUUUUUGAGACUUUCUUAUGAAUCGUAUAUUUUAACAUCAGAAGAAUAAUAUAUAAAAUAUGGUUUAUAUUUUUAUGGUCUAGCAGAUAUUUAAAAAUAGAAAAAAAUGCAACUUUGCCUAGCUAAAUUCUAACCAAGAUAAGAUGUUGUUAAAAUUAGAAAAAUACAGAAGCUAAGAUAGUAUAAUAAACUAAGAUGUAAAAUAUAUAAAUACAUAUAUAUUUUAUGUCUUGACAUAUAACAUCUUAAUUGUUAAUGAAACCAUAUACAGUAACAUGAAUGAAAAAAGAAGAAUGAUGCAGAAGUAUUUUCUUAUUGUAGUUUACUAAAUCAAAAAAAAUUACUAAUAAGCUAAAUGUAAUGUUAAGGGUCAUGUUUAAAUUUAAAAUUAGAUUUUGUUGAGUUUUGCUGAAGACGUAUCUUUCCUAAAAGACUUUGGGGGUUUUUUGUGUGUGUGUGCUAGGAUUUCUAAGUUUUGUGAUUUGAAAUCCAUGAUACAUUUUGAGUGCCCUUUCAAACGGCAAAAUGUUUCCGUGUUAAAAUCAGACCUUAUGUACAUUUCAUUUUAUAUUUUGGUAGGAGAAAAAAAGCAGGUACUGUAGGAGAAUUCUAGUUUUGUUUUUCGUGCAUGCAUCAAAUACCAAACAAUUAUUCUGUGUGUCAGUCGGUUACACGUCUGAGCAAGUUACAGUUUGUGUAAAGAGUAUCUUACACAUUUAACUUAUAUUGAUGAUACAGUGACCCCUAAAUACGAUUGUCAUCUUUACUGAAAUUAUGGGCAGUGUAUUUAAAAGAAGUGCAUUUUAAAAACUUAUUUUUAAUUGAAACGAGGAACUUUAAAAGGGGUUCUCUCAUCAGCAAAAUGUGUGAUUGUGCAGUUUUCUCAAAGAAUGCACUCUGGGUUUUCUUUUCAAACUAUAUGAAACUGUCUUUUGGCUGAUUGCUUGCUAGUUUUUAAGGUCAGAAAGGGAUAAAGUAGGAGUGCAGGCUAUUUCUGAUUAUUUUUCUAUCAAUCGAAAGGAAAAGGGAAAACAGUAUAUAUUGGCACAACAGAGUUUUUCCUUUAAAAAAAAAAGAAAGAAAAAAAAGAACUUGAAAUCGAAAAGAUAGAUUGCCCAUGCCUUACGUUUCUUACUGGGACUUGUUUGGAGUUGCAUACAUUUUUUGGGGGGUGGGGGGAAGUUCAUCUUAGGGAACGUGGAGUUAGAGACCACUGCAGCCAGCUGUAGGACUGCCCUCCUCUGUGGUUGGUGCCCAGAGUUUAGAAGCACAGGUUUUUGAGUUGGUAAGUGUUGAGAACCGGAAUAUCCGUGUUACCACAACCUAGGAAAAUGCCAGAAAAUUAAAAAGGUGAAGGGGCAUGUUAACCGCGCCCCCCCUCCCAGUGUCUGGCCCCGCGGGGAGGGCUCCGGGGACCGCGCAGGGAAGCAGCCGGCCGCCGGGACCCCGGGGGGCAGCUGCG